GCCGAUGGUCCAGUUGCUCCGAAAGGGCAAAAAAUUCGUCUGGGACGACCAAUGUGAGGAAAUCUUCAAACAAUUCAAGGAGUUCCUCACAUCCCCGGCCGUCAUCCAGAAGCCGAGGCCCGACAACCCAAUCCUGGUAUAUCUAGCAGUCUCGGAAGAAGCAGUCAGCGCUGCCCUAGUGCAGGAAGCCGAGGGCGAGGAGCGACCCGUAUACUUUGUCAGCCGAACCCUCCACUCGGCCGAGACCCGAU
RNAcentral lists this long non-coding RNA (251 nucleotides) under Phaseolus vulgaris (common bean). Its description in RNAcentral is "long non-coding RNA (PVUL_LNC002898)". Lineage: Eukaryota; Viridiplantae; Streptophyta; Magnoliopsida; Fabales; Fabaceae. The record is from RNAcentral.